This 253-nucleotide ribosomal RNA is filed under the name uncultured bacterium. Its description in RNAcentral is "partial 16S ribosomal RNA". It matches the Rfam family "Bacterial small subunit ribosomal RNA", at positions 524 to 776 of the family's 1533-position model. The record is from RNAcentral.
UACGUAGGGGGCGAGCGUUGUCCGGAAUCAUUGGGCGUAAAGCGCGUGUAGGCGGCUUGUCGCGUCGGCUGUGAAAUCCCGUGGCUCAACUGUGGGCGGGCAGCUGAUACGGGCAGGCUGGAGUUCGGUAGGGGAGACUGGAAUUCCUGGUGUAGCGGUGAAAUGCGCAGAUAUCAGGAGGAACACCGACGGCGAAGGCAGCACUCUGGGCCGGUACUGACGCUGAGGAGCGAAAGCAUGGGGAGCGAACAGG